This is a non-coding RNA of Nerophis ophidion (straightnose pipefish), 917 nucleotides long. The record is from the annotation of a RefSeq genome assembly. Lineage: Eukaryota; Metazoa; Chordata; Actinopteri; Syngnathiformes; Syngnathidae.
ACUCUUUCCACGCACUGGGCUGGAAAAGUGCAUCAAGAUGUGGCCUGCACCAGUGCUUCUGCUCGUCCAGUCGGCUCUGCUGAUUCAAGGAUCUUCCGCCCAGGAUUUGGUGACCCAGACGGACAAAAUCAAGUAUGUCAGUCUACAUGGGACGGUGACCAUCAGCGCCAAAGGGAGUUCAAAUAUUUUUGAUGCUCUCAGUUGGUACCAAGUGAAACCUGGACAGGUUCCUAAACCUCUGAUCUAUGAUGCAUCAAGUCUUGCUUCUGGAACACCAUCUCGAUUCAGUGGCACACGAUCUGGCUCUGACUACACUCUGACUAUCAGUGGUGUUCAGACAGACGAUGUCGCUGAUUACUACUGUUUUGCCAGGUUUGGACCUGGAAGGUUUACACGGUGAUUGAGAGCUGUACAAAAACCUCCUUUGGUUAGAGGGAAGUGAAAGUGGAAGAUGUGAUGAUGACUGGUCCACUGAACAAAGAUCACCAAGCAGAACCAGCGUCAACUUGAACAAGUCCAAGUUCAAGGAUUCUUUGUUCCUUCAAGAAAAAAAGUCUCCUUCUGUUUGUCCAGAUCAGCCAGGCGUGUCCACAGUGGGCCCACAGGAACCGUUUGCCAUUCUUCUUGAUUGGCUUGUAAGAAAAAGUUGAAAUGAGGGAAGAAGAAGUCACACUGUUCUGUCCCAUAAACAUUCUAUACCAGGGGUCUUCAAACUUUUCCAGGCCAAAGACAAUAAAGAUGGAGUGAGGACGCCCUGGCUUGUAUAAAAUUAUAUAAUUAUUCAAAUGAAAUUGUACUAAAUGAUAUUAUUAUUAUAAAUUCAAAUUAUACUUUUAGGUUUCAUACCUCAAAUCUUCAUGAAUUAACUCCUAAGUCACUCACAUUAAACUGAAUAUUGCUCAUUUAAAUACACUAAG